GGCUCAUCUUUAUAGUCUGUGGAGCGAGACUCUUCUCCCAUUACUUCUUGCUUGAUGAUGGCACAUCCGUCUUGGGAGGAGUAGACGGUUGCACCUGCUUGGGCCUCCACUUUAGCAGUAUCACCUUCGGAGGUGUGGAAGUUUGUUCAACCUUCUGCUUCGGUUUCCACACCUGCUUCGGUUGUGAAGGCUUGGGGACUUCAUCCCUUUUUUGAUUCUUUUUAGGAGCUAUUUUUUUCUGCUUCUUAUUAUUUUUUUAGGAGUUGCCUUUUCUUUUGGCUUUGGCUUUUUCUUAAAUAUUUUUAUAUUUUUAAUAAGUUGAGGCUGGAUCUCAACCUGCCUGAUGCCUUGGGGGUUUGGCCCAUAGAGGAUGCGUAUCAUGUUGCACUCUUGUGGACGGUGUGGCCUGAACUCGAACUUCUCUUCUUGGCCAUUAAUGUUGAAGCGGAUUUCUCCGGCCCCAACAGAGAGAGCAGGAGAGGGAGCUGAGUGGCGCAAAUGAGAGAGGAGGGAGAGGCGGAAGCGGCAGGGAGCUCCUGGUGGCCGACUAGGGCGUGUCUAUGGAGUUGCAUGGACGCCACGCGGUGGGAGCGACCUGCCGGCUUGCCACGGUGGCACGGCGCGGCCGUUGCGCACGGGCGUGGGCACGGGGAGGGUAAAGGGGUGCGCGCGUGGGGUGGGCCGACUUUGGCUAGUGGG
This 699-nucleotide long non-coding RNA is filed under the name Sorghum bicolor (sorghum). Its description in RNAcentral is "long non-coding RNA (SBIC_LNC017519)". Lineage: Eukaryota; Viridiplantae; Streptophyta; Magnoliopsida; Poales; Poaceae. The record is from RNAcentral.